AGUCGAGAUUAUUUUGGGAAUAAAAAAGUUCACUAAUUUAUUUUAGUCCAACGUUUAGAGUGAUUUUGGAUGUUUUUUUAUAACCGUUGGCUGAAUUUUCGUGAAAAAGUAUGUGUCGCCACGCGAUGGGAGUACAAUGUGCCAUUAGGAGCCUUGAGGACAACCAUAACAACUGGGUGACUAAACAGAACAGCGGGACAUUAUGAUUUAGAGCAACACACCACCGUUCUAUGAAUCGUUGGGGUUUGCACCAUGCGAUGUAGAAUAAUAUAGUCAAUGAGACAAAAUAA
This is a long non-coding RNA of Topomyia yanbarensis, 290 nucleotides long. RefSeq lists it as uncharacterized. Lineage: Eukaryota; Metazoa; Arthropoda; Insecta; Diptera; Culicidae. The transcript has 2 exons. The record is from RefSeq and is a predicted model, not a curated record.